AGACCCGAAACCCGGUGAUCUAGCCAUGGGCAGGUUGAAGGUUGGGUAACACUAACUGGAGGACCGAACCGACUAAUGUUGAAAAAUUAGCGGAUGACCUGUGGCUGGGGGUGAAAGGCCAAUCAAACCGGGAGAUAGCUGGUUCUCCCCGAAAGCUAUUUAGGUAGCGCCUCGUGAAUUCAUCUCCGGGGGUAGAGCACUGUUUCGGCUAGGGGGCCAUCCCGGCUUACCAACCCGAUGCAAACUGCGAAUACCGGAGAAUGUUAUCACGGGAGACACACGGCGGGUGCUAACGUCCGUCGUGAAGAGGGAAACAACCCAGACCGCCAGCUAAGGUCCCAAAGUCAUGGUUAAGUGGGAAACGAUGUGGGAAGGCCCAGACAGCCAGGAUGUUGGCUUAGAAGCAGCCAUCAUUUAAAGAAAGCGUAAUAGCUCACUGGUCGAGUCGGCCUGCGCGGAAGAUGUAACGGGGCUAAACCAUGCACCGAAGCUGCGGCAGCGACACUGUGUGUUGUUGGGUAGGGGAGCGUUCUGUAAGCCUGUGAAGGUGUGUCGUGAGGCAUGCUGGAGGUAUCAGAAGUGCGAAUGCUGACAUAAGUAACGAUAAAGCGGGUGAAAAGCCCGCUCGCCGGAAGACCAAGGGUUCCUGUCCAACGUUAAUCGGGGCAGGGUGAGUCGACCCCUAAGGCGAGGCCGAAAGGCGUAGUCGAUGGGAAACGGGUUAAUAUUCCCGUACUUGGUGUUACUGCGAAGGGGGGACGGAGAAGGCUAUGUUGGCCGGGCGACGGUUGUCCCGGUUUAAGCGUGUAGGUGUGUGUUCCAGGUAAAUCCGGUUCACUUUAACACUGAGGCGUGACGACGAGGCACUACGGUGCUGAAGCAACAAAUGCCCUGCUUCCAGGAAAAGCCUCUAAGCAUCAGGUAACAUCAAAUCGUACCCCAAACCGACACAGGUGGUCAGGUAGAGAAUACCAAGGCGCUUGAGAGAACUCGGGUGAAGGAACUAGGCAAAAUGGUGCCGUAACUUCGGGAGAAGGCACGCUGACACGUAGGUGAAGUGAUUUACUCAUGGAGCUGAAGUCAGUCGAAGAUACCAGCUGGCUGCAACUGUUUAUUAAAAACACAGCACUGUGCAAACACGAAAGUGGACGUAUACGGUGUGACGCCUGCCCGGUGCCGGAAGGUUAAUUGAUGGGGUCAGCGCAAGCGAAGCUCCUGAUCGAAGCCCCGGUAAACGGCGGCCGUAACUAUAACGGUCCUAAGGUAGCGAAAUUCCUUGUCGGGUAAGUUCCGACCUGCACGAAUGGCGUAAUGAUGGCCAGGCUGUCUCCACCCGAGACUCAGUGAAAUUGAACUCGCUGUGAAGAUGCAGUGUACCCGCGGCAAGACGGAAAGACCCCGUGAACCUUUACUAUAGCUUGACACUGAACAUUGAGCCUUGAUGUGUAGGAUAGGUGGGAGGCUUUGAAGUGUGGACGCCAGUCUGCAUGGAGCCGACCUUGAAAUACCACCCUUUAAUGUUUGAUGUUCUAACGUGGACCCGUUACCCGGGUUGCGGACAGUGUCUGGUGGGUAGUUUGACUGGGGCGGUCUCCUCCUAAAGAGUAACGGAGGAGCACGAAGGUUGGCUAAUCCUGGUCGGACAUCAGGAGGUUAGUGCAAUGGCAUAAGCCAGCUUGACUGCGAGCGUGACGGCGCGAGCAGGUGCGAAAGCAGGUCAUAGUGAUCCGGUGGUUCUGAAUGGAAGGGCCAUCGCUCAACGGAUAAAAGGUACUCCGGGGAUAACAGGCUGAUACCGCCCAAGAGUUCAUAUCGACGGCGGUGUUUGGCACCUCGAUGUCGGCUCAUCACAUCCUGGGGCUGAAGUAGGUCCCAAGGGUAUGGCUGUUCGCCAUUUAAAGUGGUACGCGAGCUGGGUUUAGAACGUCGUGAGACAGUUCGGUCCCUAUCUGCCGUGGGCGCUGGAGAACUGAGGGGGGCUGCUCCUAGUACGAGAGGACCGGAGUGGACGCAUCACUGGUGUUCGGGUUGUCAUGCCAAUGGCACUGCCCGGUAGCUAAAUGCGGAAGAGAUAAGUGCUGAAAGCAUCUAAGCACGAAACUUGCCCCGAGAUGAGUUCUCCCUGAGACUUAAAGUCUCCUGAAGGAACGUUGA
This 2154-nucleotide ribosomal RNA is filed under the name Salmonella enterica. Its description in RNAcentral is "partial 23S ribosomal RNA". It matches the Rfam family "Bacterial large subunit ribosomal RNA", at positions 711 to 2841 of the family's 2925-position model. The record is from RNAcentral. Lineage: Bacteria; Pseudomonadati; Pseudomonadota; Gammaproteobacteria; Enterobacterales; Enterobacteriaceae.